Solanum dulcamara is the source of this 412-nucleotide long non-coding RNA. RefSeq lists it as uncharacterized. The transcript has 3 exons. Lineage: Eukaryota; Viridiplantae; Streptophyta; Magnoliopsida; Solanales; Solanaceae. The record is from RefSeq and is a predicted model, not a curated record.
UCGGGUCAGCCCAUAUUUAUUUCCAUGUAAGAGAUAAGUUCAGCCUUAUCUCUUUCCUUUCAUCCAAAAUAUUUCCAGAACACCAUAGAAAUAUAGAGAGAUAGAGAGAGAGUGAAUUAAAAUCCAUUUUUGACCCAAAUUCGAGUUCCGAUUUCAAAAGCUCAUGAAGAGAAAAACGUUGCACGUUGCGUUGUCUUCAUUUUGAGCUAAAAAUCAGAGAAGAAGAAGUGUAUUAAGGUGGUUGACUUAUACUUCAAGGUGUAUAUUCUCUUAUACAAGCUAAGAGGAAUUGUUUGACGAAGUGGAUUUUGGUUGAUCUAUGACAUAGAGAAAUUGAACUCCGCGAGUGGUGGUAGAACUUGUUGUAUGCUAAAACGCCAAGGUGAUGUGCGAGGCGGAAUAUGAAGAUGUC